This is a long non-coding RNA of Mastomys coucha (southern multimammate mouse), 464 nucleotides long. RefSeq lists it as uncharacterized. Lineage: Eukaryota; Metazoa; Chordata; Mammalia; Rodentia; Muridae. The transcript is spliced from 2 exons. The record is from RefSeq and is a predicted model, not a curated record.
UGGAAACAGAAAGAAUGUGAGGUCCUGAACGGAGAGGAGAGACUGAAUGUCAUGGAAUCCUGUCUUCUGGAAAUGACAUGGUUGCUAUACUCGUGAAUUCACAGCAGCUGUGCUUACCUACAUAAUAUCUGCACAUGACUGGGCCUAUCAACAUACUAUCCCAGAGGGAGGAAGAUCUCAUGAGGCCCCACCCCUCACUGAAGAGCUGUAGGGUCUUAUGGCCUGGAACUUGCCAUACACAUGAAGAAGGCCUUGAACUUAGAGACCCACCUGCCUCUACUAGGAUUGCUAAGAUUAGUCUGUAUUAUAAGAACAUGUCAAACUGUCAACAACUCACAGCAAUGACAACAGAGAACAAAGCUGCCUGAGACUACCUGAGAAGUGAAAGGAUUAAAAAUCAAAACCAAAUGGUCUGGUAUGACAAGAUGUACAAAUGUCAAAACAAGUUUAACCUUUCAUUAAUA